GGUUAGCUAUGGCGUGUCCCACAAUAUUCAAUGUUUUUUCUGUACUUCUGCGACUCCUCUUCUUCAUUUUGUUGAUUACUUUAGAAACUUUAAUCCCAGUCAAAUCUGGUGCGUGCUGCUCAUGGUCAUCCUGUUGUAAAAUUUCUCCUAGUGGAUAUUGGAACAAAAAAUGAAUAUUGUUUUUUUCUUCUUGCUUUAUCAUCGUUUGUUUACCUUGGGUUGUCUCUGUUGUCGUGUGGCAGCGUGAUUUGCAUCCUUUUUGAUAGUGACUGCACUUCCAUAUCACUUUUCCUGAACCAUCACUGUGUUUAUAAAAUGUAUAUGCAUCAACGAUCAGUGUUUUUUGUCCUCUUUGAGUUGUGCCAAAUUUCAACACCAUGUUCAAUUUAUUUUAUUACAUUUGAUUCUUAAAUGGUGUCGUUUGGGCUCGGAGUUGGAAUGUGUACUGAGGCAUCGGAGUAAAUUGUAUGAUAAGGCCUGUGUAUCGGUAAAUGAUGUGUAUGAGUAUUAAUAUAUUGUAUUUGUGUUGGGCGUUAAGUGAUGAGGAUAAUCCGUUUAUUGCCCUUCAUUUUUAUUCGGCCCUAUCUGAAUCUGGUAGCUUUGUGGUUUGUACAUGUGUAGGAUGAACUAGUGGCGGUAAAAUGUCUGGGAUGAAAUGUCUUAGGAUGAAAUGCCCUGGGAUGAAAUGGCCCGAGAUGGAAGUGGAUAGGACGAACUAUCAUGGAACCCUUCACGUUCAGGAAUUUUUCCGAAGUCAGUGAGGAAAAAAUCACUCAUUUAUUUGUGGGUGCACGGAGGGAUCGAGCGUAAUUGUAGGCUUCCAAUUAUUUAUCAUGUGGAGCCGGGAGGUUAUGUAUGAUUACCCCCGGGGCCAUUUCGAAAGUCAGCGAUCGUUUGCGGCCAAAUUCGUCGCUGAGUGAUUCGAAGAGAUAAAAAUUAGCGUUACGCCUACUAGUGGGCCUGUUGGCUCACGGGACCCAUGAGAGUUUCUAUUUCCAUGACGGCUAAGUAUUGGUCAUUCUAUCAACUGUCAUUAAUAUAUUAGUAAUGAUUAAUAAAGAGAGAUUCGCAUCGAAUGAGGCGAUGGGAAACUUGUUUAGAAGAAUGUUUUUUAGCUCAUUAACCCUCCUGAACUGGCUAGAUCUCUUACGUCUCACUUGCACUGCAGUGGCGCCCUAUAGGUUGAGCAGUUGGCGGCGGCGCGCCGCUCUACGCGCCAGUUCAGGAGGGUUAAUUCAUUAAUGUUGGUUAUGCGCUAGGGUUUGAGUUGGGAGUUCUGUCAUAUGUGGGAUUGUCUCGACGAGGACAUGUCAAACAACAUCUUUGUUGGGCAUUUUUUCAGUUACACUGGUGGAAAAAAAUUUCAUUCCACAGACAAUCUCGUUGUAAGUUCCAUGAGCGUGACAUUGGAUUCAAUUGGGGGAAAAUGAAUAUGAAGUUUCAAGUUUUGGAUAGUCAAACGAAAAAAGACUAUUAUUUAAGAAAAUAGUUGUCAGAGAAUUUCAUAGAGGAAAUUGUAAUAGGGCUUUUUAAUAUAAAAAAAUUUUCUCUAUCCAGCAUCUCCUCCCUGUCCCCAUCCCUCAUAUUGUUAACCUAUUUCUCACCCCUCAUGUUAUACAAUGUUGUAGCCUCCGGGCUGAUACUAUACCAAUCAAUUUUGUAUGUAUAAACUUGUAUCAUAUUGUUGUCUUGUCUUGUUUGUAAAUAUUUAUCCAUGUUAAUAAAUCUUGUUGAAUCUUAAAAA
Molecule: long non-coding RNA, 1744 nt
Organism: Diachasma alloeum
Lineage: Eukaryota; Metazoa; Arthropoda; Insecta; Hymenoptera; Braconidae
Exons: 3
Source: RefSeq, a predicted model, not a curated record